UGAACCACAAAAAUAUUGUGAAAUAUCUUGGAUCCUUAAAGACUAAGAGUCACCUCCACAUAAUUCUUGAGGGGGAAGAAAUUUUACACUACUGUUGAUACUUUGACUCAACGAGAGCCUUAUUCAAUGCUUGCUACAAUGUUCAGUGGUUGGCAUACUGUGUGUCAGGAUCCUGAAAUGGGAUUUGUAUUUGUUGAUAGGGAUGGAAAACAUUUCCGACACAUACUUAAUUGGUUAAGGGAUGGUGUUGUUCCUACAUUAAAAGACUCUCAAUUUGCCGAGCUUUUGAGGGAGGCAGAAUACUACCUGCUACCGGUAAGUAGAGUCUAAUACUUAUUUUGUGUUAACAUCAGGAUAUUGCUUUGUGUAUAUUUACAUGUAGGUGCUCUUACAAUUUUUUUUUUUAGUUCGGGAUCUUUUUCAUUUGAUUUUCAUGUGCUCAUUGUCUACAUAUGGAAGUUGAUCGUUCAUAUCAAUUAGCCAGACAUGUCUUAAUGCAUUGUUAUAAUAAUUCUUGUUUUGCUUUAUGCCAUGCCCUUUUUUUUUUUUCACAUCUUUGGAUUUUCAUUGUCAAAUUUGAGGAAUUUCUCCUAUAAGUUUCUUUCUAUAGAAGUAAUAUUGAUCAUCCGAACUUGAUCAGUACUCAAGUCAAACAAGACAUUGAUCCAGAAUCCAGUGGUGGGAUGAAUGGUUACAUUUUUGUUUCUAAUAGACCAGUGCAGCCUGCGCAAAUAGAUUCACCAAUUAGUGGCAUGGAUAUGAUUGCUGAUAAUAAAGUCUUGUCAGUGUUCUACAAGUGUCCAGCCUUCCAUGUACACAUUCCUAGACCACCAAGUGGAGUUCAUUAUCCAAAUAAGUCUAUCCUCAAGAAGCAUGUUAAACCCACACCAUUUUUUUGGCAUGAGAAGUCUGC
Molecule: long non-coding RNA, 913 nt
Organism: Humulus lupulus (European hop)
Lineage: Eukaryota; Viridiplantae; Streptophyta; Magnoliopsida; Rosales; Cannabaceae
Exons: 6
Source: RefSeq, a predicted model, not a curated record